UGAAACAUCUUCGGGUUGUGAGGUUAAGCGACUAAGCGUACACGGUGGAUGCCCUGGCAGUCAGAGGCGAUGAAGGACGUGCUAAUCUGCGAUAAGCGUCGGUGAGGUGAUGUGAACCGUUAUAACCGGCGAUUUCCGAAUGGGGAAACCCAGUGUGUUUCGACACACUAUCAUUAACUGAAUCCAUAGGUUAAUGAGGCGAACCGGGGGAACUGAAACAUCUAAGUACCCCGAGGAAAAGAAAUCAACCGAGAUUCCCCCAGUAGCGGCGAGCGAACGGGGAGGAGCCCAGAGCCUGAAUCAGUGUGUGUGUUAGUGGAAGCGUCUGGAAAGGCGUGCGAUACAGGGUGACAGCCCCGUACACAAAAAUGCACAUAUUGUGAGCUCGAUGAGUAGGGCGGGACACGUGGUAUCCUGUCUGAAUAUGGGGGGACCAUCCUCCAAGGCUAAAUACUCCUGACUGACCGAUAGUGAACCAGUACCGUGAGGGAAAGGCGAAAAGAACCCCGGCGAGGGGAGUGAAAAAGAACCUGAAACCGUGUACGUACAAGCAGUGGGAGCCUCUUAAUGGGGUGACUGCGUACCUUUUGUAUAAUGGGUCAGCGACUUAUAUUCUGUAGCAAGGUUAACCGAAUAGGGGAGCCGAAGGGAAACCGAGUCUUAACUGGGCGUUAAGUUGCAGGGUAUAGACCCGAAACCCGGUGAUCUAGCCAUGGGCAGGUUGAAGGUUGGGUAACACUAACUGGAGGACCGAACCGACUAAUGUUGAAAAAUUAGCGGAUGACUUGUGGCUGGGGGUGAAAGGCCAAUCAAACCGGGAGAUAGCUGGUUCUCCCCGAAAGCUAUUUAGGUAGCGCCUCGUGAAUUCAUCUCCGGGGGUAGAGCACUGUUUCGGCAAGGGGGUCAUCCCGACUUACCAACCCGAUGCAAACUGCGAAUACCGGAGAAUGUUAUCACGGGAGACACACGGCGGGUGCUAACGUCCGUCGUGAAGAGGGAAACAACCCAGACCGCCAGCUAAGGUCCCAAAGUCAUGGUUAAGUGGGAAACGAUGUGGGAAGGCCCAGACAGCCAGGAUGUUGGCUUAGAAGCAGCCAUCAUUUAAAGAAAGCGUAAUAGCUCACUGGUCGAGUCGGCCUGCGCGGAAGAUGUAACGGGGCUAAACCAUGCACCGAAGCUGCGGCAGCGACACUAUGUGUUGUUGGGUAGGGGAGCGUUCUGUAAGCCUGUGAAGGUGGCCUGUGAGGGUUGCUGGAGGUAUCAGAAGUGCGAAUGCUGACAUAAGUAACGAUAAAGCGGGUGAAAAGCCCGCUCGCCGGAAGACCAAGGGUUCCUGUCCAACGUUAAUCGGGGCAGGGUGAGUCGACCCCUAAGGCGAGGCCGAAAGGCGUAGUCGAUGGGAAACAGGUUAAUAUUCCUGUACUUGGUGUUACUGCGAAGGGGGGACGGAGAAGGCUAUGUUGGCCGGGCGACGGUUGUCCCGGUUUAAGCGUGUAGGCUGGUUUUCCAGGCAAAUCCGGAAAACCAAGGCUGAGGCGUGAUGACGAGGCACUACGGUGCUGAAGCGACAAAUGCCCUGCUUCCAGGAAAAGCCUCUAAGCAUCAGGUAACAUCAAAUCGUACCCCAAACCGACACAGGUGGUCAGGUAGAGAAUACCAAGGCGCUUGAGAGAACUCGGGUGAAGGAACUAGGCAAAAUGGUGCCGUAACUUCGGGAGAAGGCACGCUGAUAUGUAGGUGAAGCGACUUGCUCGUGGAGCUGAAAUCAGUCGAAGAUACCAGCUGGCUGCAACUGUUUAUUAAAAACACAGCACUGUGCAAACACGAAAGUGGACGUAUACGGUGUGACGCCUGCCCGGUGCCGGAAGGUUAAUUGAUGGGGUUAGCGGUAACGCGAAGCUCUUGAUCGAAGCCCCGGUAAACGGCGGCCGUAACUAUAACGGUCCUAAGGUAGCGAAAUUCCUUGUCGGGUAAGUUCCGACCUGCACGAAUGGCGUAAUGAUGGCCAGGCUGUCUCCACCCGAGACUCAGUGAAAUUGAACUCGCUGUGAAGAUGCAGUGUACCCGCGGCAAGACGGAAAGACCCCGUGAACCUUUACUAUAGCUUGACACUGAACAUUGAGCCUUGAUGUGUAGGAUAGGUGGGAGGCUUUGAAGUGUGGACGCCAGUCUGCAUGGAGCCGACCUUGAAAUACCACCCUUUAAUGUUUGAUGUUCUAACGUUGGCCCGUAAUCCGGGUUGCGGACAGUGUCUGGUGGGUAGUUUGACUGGGGCGGUCUCCUCCUAAAGAGUAACGGAGGAGCACGAAGGUUGGCUAAUCCUGGUCGGACAUCAGGAGGUUAGUGCAAUGGCAUAAGCCAGCUUGACUGCGAGCGUGACGGCGCGAGCAGGUGCGAAAGCAGGUCAUAGUGAUCCGGUGGUUCUGAAUGGAAGGGCCAUCGCUCAACGGAUAAAAGGUACUCCGGGGAUAACAGGCUGAUACCGCCCAAGAGUUCAUAUCGACGGCGGUGUUUGGCACCUCGAUGUCGGCUCAUCACAUCCUGGGGCUGAAGUAGGUCCCAAGGGUAUGGCUGUUCGCCAUUUAAAGUGGUACGCGAGCUGGGUUUAGAACGUCGUGAGACAGUUCGGUCCCUAUCUGCCGUGGGCGCUGGAGAACUGAGGGGGGCUGCUCCUAGUACGAGAGGACCGGAGUGGACGCAUCACUGGUGUUCGGGUUGUCAUGCCAAUGGCACUGCCCGGUAGCUAAAUGCGGAAGAGAUAAGUGCUGAAAGCAUCUAAGCACGAAACUUGCCCCGAGAUGAGUUCUCCCUGAGACUUAGAGUCUCCUGAAGGAACGUUGAAGACGACGACGUUGAUAGGCCGGGUGUGUAAGCGCAGCGAUGCGUUGAGCUAACCGGUACUAAUGAACCGUGAGGCUUAACCUU
This 2925-nucleotide ribosomal RNA is filed under the name Escherichia coli 9.1649. RNAcentral describes it as "bacterial LSU rRNA". It matches the Rfam family "Bacterial large subunit ribosomal RNA". Lineage: Bacteria; Pseudomonadati; Pseudomonadota; Gammaproteobacteria; Enterobacterales; Enterobacteriaceae. The record is from RNAcentral.